RNAcentral lists this ribosomal RNA (253 nucleotides) under uncultured bacterium. Its description in RNAcentral is "partial 16S ribosomal RNA". It matches the Rfam family "Bacterial small subunit ribosomal RNA", at positions 524 to 776 of the family's 1533-position model. The record is from RNAcentral.
GACGAGCCACACAAACGUUAUUCGGAAUUAUUGGGCGUAAAGGGCGCGUAGGCGGCCUUCUAAGUCGGACGUGAAAUCCCUCGGCUUAACCGAGGAACUGCGUCCGAUACUGAAAGGCUUGAAUCCGGGAGAGGGAUGUGGAAUUCCAGGUGUAGCGGUGAAAUGCGUAGAUAUCUGGAGGAACACCGGUGGCGAAGGCGGCAUCCUGGACCGGCAUUGACGCUGAGGCGCGAAAGCUAGGGGAGCAAACGGG